AUUGAACGCUGGCGGCAGGCCUAACACAUGCAAGUCGAACGAGUGGCGGACGGAUUGGUAAUGUCUGGGAAACUGCCUGAUGGAGGGGGAUAAGUACUGGCAACGGUAGCUCAUACCGCAUACCAUCGGAUGUGCCCAGGUGGGAGUAGCUAGUGGGUGGGGUAAAGGCUCACCUCGGCGACGAUCCGUAGCUGGUCUGAGAGGAUGACCAGCCACACUGGAACUGAGACACGGUCCAGACUCCUACGGGAGGCAGCAGGGGGGAAUAUUGGACAAUGGGAGAAAGCCUGAUGCAGCCAUGCCGCGUGUAUGAAGAAGGUCUUCGGGUUGUAAAGCACUUUAAGCGGGGAGGCGUUACCAGCAGAAGAAGCACCGGCUAACUCCGUGCCAGCAGCCGCGGUAAUUC
RNAcentral lists this ribosomal RNA (406 nucleotides) under uncultured bacterium. RNAcentral describes it as "partial 16S ribosomal RNA". It matches the Rfam family "Bacterial small subunit ribosomal RNA", at positions 30 to 526 of the family's 1533-position model. The record is from RNAcentral.